This 427-nucleotide ribosomal RNA is filed under the name uncultured bacterium. Its description in RNAcentral is "partial 16S ribosomal RNA". It matches the Rfam family "Bacterial small subunit ribosomal RNA", at positions 354 to 796 of the family's 1533-position model. The record is from RNAcentral.
GUGGGGAAUAUUGGGCAAUGGGGGAAACCCUGACCCAGCGACGCCGCGUGAGGGAAGACGGCCUUCGGGUUGUAAACCUCUUUUGUACGGGAAGAAGGAAGUGACGGUACUGUACGAAUAAGUCCCGGCUAACUACGUGCCAGCAGCCGCGGUAAUACGUAGGGGACGAGCGUUGUCCGGAAUUACUGGGCGUAAAGGGCGCGCAGGAUGUGCUGCAAGUCAGCUGUGAAAUGUCUGGGCUUAACCCGGGCAUGCGGUUGAGACUGCAGUGCUGGAGUGCUGUAGAGGCAAGUGGAAUUCCCAGUGUAGCGGUGAAAUGCGUAGAUAUUGGGAAGAACACCGGUGGCGAAGGCGACUUGCUGGGCAGCAACUGACGCUGAGGCGCGAAAGCCAGGGGAGCAAACGGGAUUAGAAACCCUUGUAGUCC